GACAAACGCUGGCGGCAUGCCUAACACAUGCAAGUCGAACGGACAGAACAGGGAAGCUUUUCGGAGUGGAACUGGAAAGUUAGUGGCGGAUGGGUGAGUAACGCGUGGACAACCUACCUUGUAAAGGGGAAUAACCUCGAGAAAUCGAAGCUAAUACCCCAUAAUAACCUUGCUUCGCAUGAAGUAAGGAGGCAAGGCGGCCUUAGCGCUGUCGAUACAAGAUGGGUCCGCGUCUGAUUAGCUAGUUGGUGAGGUAAAGGCUCACCAAGGCGACGAUCAGUAGCCGGCCUGAGAGGGUGAACGGCCACAUUGGGACUGAGACACGGCCCAAACUCCUACGGGAGGCAGCAGUGGGGAAUCUUCCGCAAUGGGCGAAAGCCUGACGGAGCAAUGCCGCGUGAGUGAAGAAGGCCUUCGGGUUGUAAAACUCUGUCCUUAUCGAAGAGAGAGUGUUGUAGUAACUGACAAUACUAGGACGGUAGAUGAGGAGGAAGCCCCGGCUAACUAUGUG
This 511-nucleotide ribosomal RNA is filed under the name uncultured bacterium. RNAcentral describes it as "partial 16S ribosomal RNA". It matches the Rfam family "Bacterial small subunit ribosomal RNA", at positions 28 to 507 of the family's 1533-position model. The record is from RNAcentral.